GCGUUCUGGACCUGACGAAGAGGGUGAUGCGCCUUCUCCUGCACCCCCUCCCCCUCCCGGUUGGCCCUCGCGACUUCUCCAUUCCCUUUGCCUGAAGACGAAAAAACUGCCCAACAUUUGGACGACACGUGCUUCGCCUCACCCCCCCUUUUCGGUUGGACCCCUCAUCCCUGUUGCAUAUUUUUACUGUAUUCAUCACACAUUUUUUUC
Drosophila gunungcola (fruit fly) is the source of this 210-nucleotide long non-coding RNA. RefSeq lists it as uncharacterized. NCBI's taxonomy places the organism in Eukaryota, Metazoa, Arthropoda, Insecta, Diptera, Drosophilidae. The record is from RefSeq and is a predicted model, not a curated record. The transcript has 3 exons.